GUUUCUUUAUUUGAAAAUUAUCUUAUAAUGGAGGAAGACGAUUUUACCAUAGAACGGCGUUCUUAGAACAGAAUCGUUACCAAACGGCCUCUUACAGUCCAAUUCUUUCCCGUAAAACCGUUCCCGCUGAAAAAUCAAAUAGAGGGAGGGUUUCUUUCUCACAACCAAAACCUCACUGCUCUACACGUCUCUUGACCUUCUCAAUCCAUCGAGGGUUUGUAUUCUCCGCUCGGCUGCUGUUGCAGGUCCUUCAUCUGCUGUAAUCGGUUGUUGUUGCUUAAAAGUUACAGGUUUUGCACCUCCAUCUCUUCGAAUCCACCAGUUCAGAUAACGGACAUGGGGCUCUGACCGAGAGAAUCAAUGAAACCAAAGGCUCUGUGAUGAUUAAUCUAACUGAAAGCAUAAGUGGUGCUUUGUUCCCACUAUUCAGGACAGUGGAAUUCAUGAUCAAAACCCAGUAGUGUAGAGGUUAGAGUCUCUCCAAGUGAACCCCCAGAGGAAAAAGGUAACCCAAGAUUCCAAAGCAAAAUCUCCUCAAAGUCACUGAGAGUUUAUUGAGAAAAAAGAUACACUAGAGGCGAGAGAGACUUGAAUUGAUGGGGAAGAAAGGUGUUGGAAUUGGAGCUCCAGAUUUUGGCUUG
Long non-coding RNA from Macadamia integrifolia, 641 nucleotides. RefSeq lists it as uncharacterized. The transcript is spliced from 5 exons. The record is from RefSeq and is a predicted model, not a curated record. NCBI's taxonomy places the organism in Eukaryota, Viridiplantae, Streptophyta, Magnoliopsida, Proteales, Proteaceae.